Mangifera indica (mango) is the source of this 726-nucleotide RNA transcript. It is a transcript of the gene named ubiquitin-like protein 5, with no coding region annotated. The transcript is spliced from 3 exons. Lineage: Eukaryota; Viridiplantae; Streptophyta; Magnoliopsida; Sapindales; Anacardiaceae. The record is from RefSeq and is a predicted model, not a curated record.
CGAUUGUUGAGUAGUCACUGAGAAGAAGCUUCCAGAGACCCCCGGUAAGAAAUAAAAUGCGCCAUUUCCACGUAUCUGUUCAGAGGAUUGGAGCAGUGAUUGCGAUUGGAAUAGCAAGAUGAUUGAGGUAGUAUUGAACGAUAGACUGGGGAAAAAGGUACGUGUGAAAUGCAACGAAGACGACACCGUCGGCGACCUGAAGAAGCUAGUGGCUGCUCAGACAGGGACUCGCCCCGAUAAAAUAAGAAUCCAAAAGUGGUACACCAUUUACAAAGAUCAUAUCACUCUCAAAGACUAUGAGAUCCACGACGGCAUGGGCCUCGAGCUCUAUUACAAUUGAAAUCUUCAAUCAGUAUGAAUUGUUUAUUAUAUCAAACUGCAUGAUGGUGAGGUGUAUGCUCCGAUUAUUGGAGACGAAUGCCUUGUUUCUCAAGUGCAAGGGAAGCAAAGCAUGCUAUUGAAUGUUGGCGAAUUGUGGACAAGGCGUUUGGAUUUGACCUCUAUUCGAGUCUUGAAAAUAUCUUUUAAAUUGAAUAUGAAUUUUCAACUAAGCCCUAUAGCAUAUGGUGACACUAUUUCUCUGACAUUAUUUAAGCAGUUUCUGAACUUGUGUAGCCGAUUAAAGAUUAAUCUUCUAUUCAUUAUGUAAUUUUCCUAUGCACCAAAAAUAAUUUAAAUUUAAAGCAAGUAAGUUUUUUAAUAAAUAAAGUUGCCUCUUAAGAACAA